Molecule: long non-coding RNA, 394 nt
Filed under: Mytilus galloprovincialis (Mediterranean mussel)
Lineage: Eukaryota; Metazoa; Mollusca; Bivalvia; Mytilida; Mytilidae
Source: RNAcentral
GCGCGCAUUUUUUUGACAGGUAAACUCAGGUGAAAUACAGGUCAUAAUACUUUAUUAUUUAUUAAUUUGUUCAAUUAUUUACAAGUAUCAGUACCCCUUCCAUUAGUCUAAGUCUCCUAAGGCACCUAUUUUGAAAGAAUUCAAUCAAUAAUAUUUUAGGGAAAAUACAGGUCAUAAUACUUAUUUAUUUAUCAAUUUGUUCAAUUAUUUACAAUUAUCAGUACCCCUUCCGUUAGUCUAAGUCUCUUCUUAGGCAGGGAAAAAAGGAGAUAAAGCCGCAUAUUUUUUUCGAUUUUCAUAUACAAUUCAACAAGUCAAAGGUGUAGACAAAAUUUUAAGAAAUCUGUGACAAAGCCCAUUUAUCAUAACUUGAACUUAAGAUAUAUAUAACGGG